Gasterosteus aculeatus (three-spined stickleback) is the source of this 3527-nucleotide long non-coding RNA. The record is from Ensembl. Lineage: Eukaryota; Metazoa; Chordata; Actinopteri; Perciformes; Gasterosteidae.
AUGAGCGUGAAGAGGAAGAAGCCUGGGCUGGUCAUCAGCUGGCAGAAGUCCUUCUCCCUCCUGGCUCCUUGGAGGAAAGGGAAAGGAGACAGAGACGCGGUUCUGGACAGAGAGGUUGUUCUGACCAAAAUGAAGCUCUUCAGCAACAUCCACAAGAUGCUUCCGACGGCCGACGACUCGGCCUCCACCAUCUCAACUGUGUCCGUUUCGGAGCAGGACGUCUGUGACCCCAGCAAACCCUCUGAAGUACGUUCCCACCGCGUUGACGAGCCGGGCCGGCUUCAGACGGAGUCCGUCUCACGGCACCCGGCCUCGGACUCUCGGCUGACGAGGUCGUACAAGUUUGAGUCGGAGGACUCUGGAGUGGAGCUGCCCAGCGGCGCGGACUCUCCGUCCACCCCGACGAGCUCUGAGCAGAGCUUCACUGUCCACAGCCGAGAGUCCUCCUGCAACCGGAACUCCGACGCCGGCGCCGCCCCCGAUGACCUGGUGCCACUCACGCAGCUCCCGGAGAGCAAACAGGCGCCGGGCUCAGCGGACGAUGGUGCGAGUGCAGCAGCGGGUGCUCUGGACGACGGUUUCAUACACUCAGAGGAGCUCAGUUCAGCCGUGGGUGCAGAGCGGCGCGCAGGUGAGGAGGUGGACGGGGACCAGAGCGGGGGGUCGGGAACCAGCCCGGAGAGAGACGAGGACAUGCCGGGACAGCUUGAGGAAACCUGCGCCGAAACCGAGAGGACCUGCUUCCGAGGAGACGGCAGCCACUGCGAGCCGGCGCCUCGGCGGAGCCGUGAGACCAGAGACAGCCUGGAGGACUACAUGGACCAAUGCUGCAGACUGAGUGAGGCACAGCAAGCGAGUUCCAACCCUCCGGGCUCGGGCCUGGAUUACCUGGAUCACAUCUGCCAACUCAUCGCCAGGAUCGGCCACCUGCAGGAGAACAACCUCCAGCUGCAGCGGCAGAUCUACAGCCUUCAGAAGGACAGCAGGACGGCAAAGACCAAAGAGGACUUUUUCCAGCAUCACUGCAGCUGUGGAGCGGCCUGCUUGUCUUUCCAGGACAUUCAGAAGAGACAGUCCAGAAGUGACUUCUCGUCCCCCAGUGGGACCCUCUCUGACCUGUCCACCAUCCCCGAGGUCACCCGGCCUCCACUCUUACCAGCCCGAGGAGACAUGAGCGGUGCGGGUUUGACACCCGUCCAACUGUGGAAGACGGGCUUGUACCGGAGGAGUUACACCGAGGGGGAAGAGCCCUUCCUCAGCCACAGCACCGAGGCGCUCUCCAUCCCCCAGCGAAGGCUCAGCGAAAACUGCACAUGGGGACGAGUCAAAGACCUGGUGAGGAAGACUAAGGUGAAGAACCAAAGCCGGCUGCGCCUGAAUUCUGCCUCCCUGGAGAGGUCCUGCCCACAGCUCUACAUGCCUGACGUGGAACCAUUAGAACCCGCUUGCAGAGACAGGAGCUCCAUGAUAGCCUUGGGCCACCACAGCAAACUGGACGUCCCUUGGUUACAAUAAACAUGGAGGAGGGACACGCAUCCGUUCUGGGAGAAUAACCACCACGCACCAUCCAGCAAUCCUCAAGCCAUUAUUUUAUUAAAGGCUGUUGAAGUGGUCCGAUAAAGGAUGGGCUCCGGGAGAGAAGGGACACAUUCUGGGGCUUUACAAUCCACUACAUGAUGCGGCUGCUGCAAUGCUGCCAUUUGGGCUAAAAAAAUAAAGAAAAAUUGACUUGAUACACAACUAAGAUUACUCAGAAUGUGCCUCAGUCUGAACACACUUUCAGAAGCUUGUAAACGUUAAAGUUGGCUGGACGUUUUCUUUGGAAUGCACAGUGCAAAAUAUACUAAAUCAAUAUUGUAAAGUUAAUAUUCUCGCUAUCAAAAGAACAUUUCUUGAUCGCUAAGUCACACCCUCAUCUUUGCACAAUGGAUGGAGAACAAACGAUAAUAACACAGAUAACAAUUGUCAUUUGUUUAUGUCAGAGUAACAAACAGCUAGUUGGUUGAUUGGGACAUUGUGAUGCAUUUCAUUUCCAACGUCACACUUGUACCAUUAUGUGGUUUGGAUGUCAGGACUCUACUGCAUGCUAUUGUACUCCAAAACGGGAAAACUGUAAGUAAACUAUUGCAUUUAAGUAGAAUUUUGUAAGACAAUAACUUUUUCUAAUAAGUUAUAUCUGAGGUUUAUCUGCAUGGCGUCAGACAACUAUAUAUGUAUUUUAUGUUUCUGUAUGGAUAUUGCAUUCAUAUUCAAAUGUAUUUUUUAAUAAAAAUUCAAUCCAAAGGAAUUGAUGCAGAAUGAGCACAUGUGCCAUUAUGCGUGUUACACAAACGCUGGGAUGGACGAUCGUCAGCCUUGACCGCUCUCAGGUGGUCACAGCGAGGAAACUCAACCAAAAAUACUCCGAUGACAGACAUUGAUUUUCUCGAGGGAGAUUUGUCUUGUCUGUAAUUCAUUAUACCGUCACCCUUUUAUGAAUUGAUAUGUCUGCUGUGUGCCGCACACAGGAGGCCACAACUGCGUCUCGUUGUGCGAUCCCUUGCAUUGCACAGUGACAGUAACGCUCAAUACUUACCUAUGAAACAGUGAGGUGAUUGUUUUCUACAAUCCACCUCCACAGUUUUGAAGAGUCAACGUGAGUGAGUUGCAUUCAAAUGCGUUCACCCACCGGGUCAUUACACCCUCGGCAUCACAUGGUGAGGGGGCCCUGGGUUCCCGGCUUCAAUUAGUUGUAACAGUCAGCAUCCGUAGCACACUGGCUGAGACCAUACUAAGCAGGGAGACGUCAACCUGGAAGUGCAUUGACGAGCUCGUGAACAGUAGUUUGACAGCAGGGCGGAGCUGAGGGGCUAAAGGGGGCUGGGGGCCCCUGAUAAGCGCCGGCAUCCUGCUGGUGCGUCGCAGAGUGCCGUUGCUCAGGACAACAUGAUUUAGGAAACGUCCCAAAAAGUUGAUCAUACUGCCCAGAUCUGAACGUUUUUCCAGGCCAUUUUUUAGGGACUCUUUACGGACCCCGUCCCCAAAACAUUGAUCUCAAGAUGCCUGAAAGAACGGUCUAGAGAGGGUGGAACACCGGACCAAAGCGCAUAACAUUUAGAAUCUGGCUGAUACCAUGUAAUGACUAAGAAAAGGACAGCACGUAUGAUACUUUCUAUGCUGGAGUUAAGCUCUGGUGUACAUCUACCACUCUAUGUACUUUCUGAUUCGUCCUUUACGGUAAGAAAGAACCAUAAAUGACGAUCUGUGAUUGUAUAUGACUUUUACUGAUAACAUAAUGCAGUAUAGCCAGGACAGCCUUACAGAGUCGCGACGCUUUGUGUUGCGUUGCUUCACAUUGCGUCGAGGUCUGUAUGAUCACAAAAUUCAGAGUUUACCCACCUCUAAUUUUACCACUACAGCACUGCCUAUAUGUGAUGUCUCAGUGGUGUUUGUGACUAGCAGGUGCACUGAAUGAACUGAUUAGGUGAGUGACAGGUGGGGGAGACAGGGUAGAAAGUGACGGAGCUGUGGCGAGGCUUAUUUCUUUU